RNAcentral lists this ribosomal RNA (373 nucleotides) under uncultured organism. RNAcentral's name for it is "partial 16S ribosomal RNA". It matches the Rfam family "Bacterial small subunit ribosomal RNA", at positions 528 to 896 of the family's 1533-position model. The record is from RNAcentral.
GGGGGGGCAAGCGUUGUUCGGAAUUACUGGGCGUAAAGGGCGCGCAGGCGGCCUGACAAGUCCCUCGUGAAAUCCCACAGCUCAACUGUGGAACUGCGGGGGAUACUGCCGGGCUUGAGUCCGGGAGAGGAGAGUGGAAUUCCCAGUGUAGCGGUGAAAUGCGUAGAUAUUGGGAGGAACACCGGUGGCGAAGGCGGCUCUCUGGACCGGUACUGACGCUGAGGCGCGAAAGCUAGGGGAGCAAACGGGGAUUAGAUACCCCGGUAGUCCUAGCUGUAAACGUUGAGCACUUGGUGUGGCGGGUAUCGACCCCCUGCCGUGCCCGAAGCUAACGCAUUAAGUGCUCCGCCUGGGGAGUACGGUCGCAAGGCUG